This is a long non-coding RNA of Xiphophorus maculatus (southern platyfish), 446 nucleotides long. RefSeq lists it as uncharacterized. Lineage: Eukaryota; Metazoa; Chordata; Actinopteri; Cyprinodontiformes; Poeciliidae. The record is from RefSeq and is a predicted model, not a curated record. The transcript is spliced from 2 exons.
AUGUUAUGGUGGGGUUUGCUGGAGGUGUCUUCCUCAACUUUCCCUGUGACUCUGAUGAGCUGAGGGAGCGUUAUUCCCCGGGUGAUUCUGGCCGAGAUUAACUCCGCUGAUUCUGUGUGUCAUUUCCCGACGCUCCUGUGUGGGAGUGAGGGAGCUAACCCAGUAAUCUCACUCAGGAAUUGAUGUUAUUGGCCCAACAGAUAAGAGGUUUCAUUGGCAGUCGUGCUGAAACAAGGAUGCAGCAAUAUCAAAGUCUAUCAGAUGAACCCAGAUUGAAAUGCUGCCUCCAAUCUCUCCUCUCAAUUAUCUGCUGAAUGGCGCCGGCGCUGAGGCUUUUGUGUGGGGAUGCCUGCGAACGCAGCAGUCAUUGAAGCUCUUUGUAGGCUCAAGGCUGCAUGUUGCUAAAUGAGUGAAGAACAGGACAAUUAAAAGGCAGCUGAAAUGAA